GGUUGACCUCGGAUUAGGAAGCAAUACC
RNAcentral lists this ribosomal RNA (28 nucleotides) under fungal endophyte sp. AP411. Its description in RNAcentral is "partial 28S ribosomal RNA". Lineage: Eukaryota; Fungi. The record is from RNAcentral.